Molecule: ribosomal RNA, 376 nt
Filed under: uncultured bacterium
Lineage: Bacteria
Description: partial 16S ribosomal RNA
Rfam family: Bacterial small subunit ribosomal RNA
Source: RNAcentral
CCUACGGGUGGCAGCAGUGGGGAAUAUUGCACAAUGGGGGAAACCCUGAUGCAGCGACGCCGCGUGAGUGAAGAAGGAAUUCGUUAUGUAAAGCUCUAUCAGCAGGGAAGAAAAUGACGGUACCUGAGUAAGAAGUCCCGGCUAACUACGUGCCAGCAGCCGCGGGAAUACGUAGGGGGAAAGCGUUAACCGGAUUUACUGGGUGUAAAGGGAGCGUAGACGGCAGUGCAAGUCUGGAGUGAAAGGCGGGGGCUCAACCCCCGGACUGCACCGGAGACUGUACGGCUGGAGUGCAGGAGAGAUAAGUGGAAUUCCUAGUGUAGCGGUGAAAUGCGUAGAUAUUAGGAGGAACACCAGUGGCGAAGGCGGCUUACUG